Molecule: long non-coding RNA, 170 nt
Organism: Juglans microcarpa x Juglans regia
Lineage: Eukaryota; Viridiplantae; Streptophyta; Magnoliopsida; Fagales; Juglandaceae
Exons: 3
Source: RefSeq, a predicted model, not a curated record
GACGAAAAAUUAUUGUUGCUGACACUUUUUCUAUAUAUAUAUAUGAUCACAUCAAUAUACAUGCCCUCUCUACCAUGAGUUUAAAUAAACGGGGGCUUUAUGGGUCUAAUGGGCUUUUUCUUUUUUAAAUUUAAAAAAAGAGUGAGUAAUCAGUACUAAGCCCGGCCUUA